CAAGAUGGUGUUUUUUAAAGAGGAGACUAAAGAAAUGAUGAUUGAAGAAACAUUUAGUGUGAAACAAGAAGAAACUGAGGAACAAACAGAUUCACCCGCUGUAAAACGCAAAAGAAUUCGGACUUUGGAGUGGCUAGAGAAAAAAAGAGCCUGCAACCGGAACCAUGCGAAAACAAGGAUAAACAUCGGCAGGGCUUUUGAAAGGUGGCGUGAACUUCGUGUUUUGAAGGGGUUCAAAACUGACACAGAGACGGCUUUUUUUCUUUUGGACAGAUAUGAAAGGCAGCAAUUCA
Pimephales promelas (fathead minnow) is the source of this 293-nucleotide non-coding RNA. Lineage: Eukaryota; Metazoa; Chordata; Actinopteri; Cypriniformes; Leuciscidae. The record is from RefSeq and is a predicted model, not a curated record.